RNAcentral lists this long non-coding RNA (649 nucleotides) under Citrus x clementina. Its description in RNAcentral is "Citrus clementina (C. clementina) long non-coding RNA (CCLE_LNC005324)". The record is from RNAcentral. Lineage: Eukaryota; Viridiplantae; Streptophyta; Magnoliopsida; Sapindales; Rutaceae.
UUUAUAUAAGAGUUAUGUAAAAAAUAUGGGGUAAAUCCUCAAAUUAUUAAGGUUAUAAGGGAAAAACAUAACACACUUUAUGUUGAUUUUUGUCUUUGAAGGCUAAUACUUCGUAUUAUGCAAUAUAUCAAUAAUUUUAUUUAUUUAUUUUUGCAAUUAUGCAACAUAUCAAAUAACUUUAUUCAUUUUGAGCCCACAGCUGCAAGGCCCUUUGUAUCUUGCCCAUGCCCCAUGAUAUCAAUUGAAUCUGUAUUUGUCUAUGAAUGAUCCCAAUAAUUUCUAAUGACAAAAUAAUGAUCAGAACCAUGAUGAAUGCAAAAGUUGCAGCAAUGUUCUUCUAGUGACAAUUUAAUGAUCAAAUAUAUUGACAAGCUAAGGUUGCUAAACCAUUUCAUAAGUACUAUUGCAUGAUUAGAUUUAUCAUUCAAGAUUACGAGCUGUAGUCACAAACUUGUACGUGAUCAGAAGAAACAAAUGGAAUUUAAAAUACAGGUUUAGGGACACCGUAAUGCUUUUAGCCUUUAAACUUUUACAAAAUAUGAGAAGACUAAAUUGUUCUUUGAUUUAGCUUUUUCAUAUACUUUACUAAAAUUUUAUAACUCAAUUUUUGUAAUAUUAUAUAUAAUGCAGGUAAGUGUACGAGCACAAC